AACCAGCACCUCGAGUGGUCAGGAGGUUUAUUGGGCCGUAAACGACAUCCGUAGCCGGUUGCAUAAGUUUUCGGUUAAAUCUAUGCGCUCAACGUAUAGGCCGCCGAAAAUACUGUGCAGCUAGGGAGUGGGAGAGGUACACGGUACUCAAUAGGAAGGGGUAAAUCCUUUGAUCUAUUGAUGACCACCUGUGGCGAAGGCGGUGUACCAGAACACGUUCGACGGUGAGGGAUGAAAGCUGGGGGUA
This 247-nucleotide ribosomal RNA is filed under the name uncultured bacterium. RNAcentral describes it as "partial 16S ribosomal RNA". It matches the Rfam family "Archaeal small subunit ribosomal RNA", at positions 474 to 719 of the family's 1478-position model. The record is from RNAcentral.